This 519-nucleotide ribosomal RNA is filed under the name uncultured eukaryote. RNAcentral describes it as "SSU rRNA". It matches the Rfam family "Eukaryotic small subunit ribosomal RNA", at positions 1161 to 1704 of the family's 1831-position model. The record is from RNAcentral.
AGGGCACCACCAGGAGUGGAGCCUGCGGCUUAAUUUGACUCAACACGGGGAAACUCACCCGGCCCGGACACCAUAAGGAUUGACAGAUUGAUAGCUUUUUCAUGAUUUGGUGGAUGGUGGUGCAUGGCCGUUCUUAGUUCGUGGAGCGAUUUGUCUGGUUUAUUCCGAUAACGAGCGAGACUCUAGCCUACUAAAUAGUCUGCACAUUGCUUCUGUGUUGCAGUACUUCUUAGAGGGAUUUUCGGUGUACAGCCGCACGAGAUUGAGCAAUAACAGGUCCGUGAUGCCCUUAGAUGUCCGGGGCUGCACGCGCGCUACACUGGCGAAAUCAGCGUGCUUGUCCUUGCUCGAAAGAGCUUGGUAAACCAAUGAAAAUUUGCCGUGAUUGGGAUCGGAAAUUGCAAUUAUUCUCCGUGAACGAGGAAUUCCAAGUAAAUGCGAGUCAUCAACUCGCGUUGAUUACGUCCCUGCCCUUUGUACACACCGCCCGUCGCUGCCCGGGACUGAGCCAUUUCGAGA